CAGCACUGGACCUCCUCACCAUCUGCUGGCUUGCCAGCCUCACACUCAGGAGUUGACAUGUGCACUGAGCUGAGGUGAUCCAAUAAUGGUGGCUCAGACUUAAUGUACCCAAGGAACUACAUGUUGUUGAGUUCAUGUCCAUGUUCGACCAUGGCUUGCAUAAAUUGCUUGAAGACUCGAUCCAUGUGUUAGUGUUCAGACAGUGGAAAAAUAAAAUAUGUGUGUGCAUCCACAAGUGCAGGGCACAUGCCCCAAAGGCCAACUGGGGACCUCGUGAAUGCUCAAUCUAAGUUCUCGCACCGGGCUCCUCCCAGCACUCUGAGAGAAUCUAACCCUGACUGCAGACAGGGCAGCCUUGUGAAGGGUGUUGGCUGCCUGUUCCCGCAGGCUGCAGACAAUUGUCCACUAUGUGGAAAAUGAGGUGCUCUCCCCAGGAAAAGAUGCCAGAGCAUAAUCUGCCCAAAGGCCCUGCCUUCGAGAACCAAAGAUCACAAACAAGAGAACACACAAUCAGCUUUCACUGGGCCUGACAGCAGAAGGGAACCCUGAAAACACUGCUCAUGUGGUCUGAAGCACUUUGAUACUAAGUUCUAAACGCUAACUUUUAUUUGCUUGUUUUUAUGUUUCAAGAUAAUGUCUUCCUGGCCCAGGUUGGAAGUUAUUAAAGUUAUCAGGGUUCAGGCCU
This is a long non-coding RNA of Microtus ochrogaster (prairie vole), 685 nucleotides long. RefSeq lists it as uncharacterized. The record is from RefSeq and is a predicted model, not a curated record. NCBI's taxonomy places the organism in Eukaryota, Metazoa, Chordata, Mammalia, Rodentia, Cricetidae.